CCACCCACAGCAACAAGUGGGCCAAAGCACUAGCACAGAGACUGGAAAAGAAAAUGGAGACAGGGGAACAGGAAGAGAAGAGGAAGCAAAACAAGAUGGUGGGAGCUAGGGUUUUCUCUAGAAAGAGGGCUGGGAAGCUCAAAACUCCAUUUUGAGGUUGAAUCUCACAACAGCUGCGUCCUGACUCCCUGUAUGAUCCUGUAAUGACUCAGGCUCAUUGUUCAGAAAUGUAGACAUCAGUGCAUUGGAUCAACCGAGGCUGGCUUCGUCAAAAGAUGAUGAAAACAGGGCUCUGGGAGGACAAUCAGCCUGAGAUCACACAACCAGUAAGAUUUCUCUUCUCCCUGGCCUGGCAGUUGUUCAGGCUGGAUACCUGGUUUGGGUCAUAGAAGCUUGGGCCAGGAUAAGGUGCCUUUCCUGGCGCAGACGGGAGCUAUUGGAGCCAAAAGGUGAGUUUCACCUGAAGCCCUGACAAGGUGCCAAGUAUCAAAGCCAGAAAAACCCAGACCAAGGUGAAGUCCAAAGGGGAGAGGAUCCAGGAGGGGCACCAAAGCUCAGGACAUGGGUGGAGCUGAAAGGGAAGGGAAAGGAAGCAAACUUAAGUCUGGGUUGGUUGCCCUGGAUGAAGCAGAGAGCUCCAAGGCUAUCCUUCAGCUGUAGUCAGCUUUGAGGGGCACUGGGAAGCAACCUGGCUUGAAGGCGCAUAGUCAGAGCAGACAGGCUCAUCUUAGGGCUCCCUUCCUGGGAACAGCAACGUUCCUGGGCACCACUUGGCAUCUUCAGGUCCACCCCAUUAUUGAUCCAG
Molecule: long non-coding RNA, 805 nt
Filed under: Equus caballus (horse)
Lineage: Eukaryota; Metazoa; Chordata; Mammalia; Perissodactyla; Equidae
Description: lncRNA (ENSECAG00000059209.1)
Source: RNAcentral